RNAcentral lists this ribosomal RNA (265 nucleotides) under uncultured Weissella sp. RNAcentral describes it as "partial 16S ribosomal RNA". It matches the Rfam family "Bacterial small subunit ribosomal RNA", at positions 80 to 339 of the family's 1533-position model. The record is from RNAcentral. Lineage: Bacteria; Bacillati; Bacillota; Bacilli; Lactobacillales; Lactobacillaceae.
UGGACAUUGCAAAGAGUGGCGAACGGGUGAGUAACACGUGGGAAACCUACCUCUUAGCGGGGGAUAACAUUUGGAAACAGAUGCUAAUACCGUAUAACAAUAGCAACCGCAUGGUUGCUACUUAAAAGAUGGUUCUGCUAUCACUAAGAGAUGGUCCCGCGGUGCAUUAGUUAGUUGGUGAGGUAAUGGCUCACCAAGACGAUGAUGGAUAGCCGAGUUGAGAGACUGAUCGGCCACAAUGGGACUGAGACACGGCCCAUACUCC